This 657-nucleotide ribosomal RNA is filed under the name uncultured bacterium. RNAcentral's name for it is "bacterial SSU rRNA". It matches the Rfam family "Bacterial small subunit ribosomal RNA", at positions 187 to 845 of the family's 1533-position model. The record is from RNAcentral.
ACAUGUCCGCAUGAUUAAAGGUAUUUUCCGGUAGACGAUGGGGAUGCGUUCCAUUAGAUAGUAGGCGGGGUAACGGCCCACCUAGUCAACGAUGGAUAGGGGUUCUGAGAGGAAGGUCCCCCACAUUGGAACUGAGACACGGUCCAAACUCCUACGGGAGGCAGCAGUGAGGAAUAUUGGUCAAUGGGCGAUGGCCUGAACCAGCCAAGUAGCGUGAAGGAUGACUGCCCUAUGGGUUGUAAACUUCUUUUAUAAAGGAAUAAAGUCGGGUAUGCAUACCCGUUUGCAUGUACUUUAUGAAUAAGGAUCGGCUAACUCCGUGCCAGCAGCCGCGGUAAUACGGAGGAUCCGAGCGUUAUCCGGAUUUAUUGGGUUUAAAGGGAGCGUAGAUGGAUGUUUAAGUCAGUUGUGAAAGUUUGCGGCUCAACCGUAAAAUUGCAGUUGAUACUGGAUGUCUUGAGUGCAGUUGAGGCAGGCGGAAUUCGUGGUGUAGCGGUGAGAUGCUUAGAUAUCACGAAGAACUCCGAUUGCGAAGGCAGCCUGCUAAGCUGCAACUGACAUUGAGGCUCGAAAGUGUGGGUAUCAAACAGGAUUAGAUACCCUGGUAGUCCACACGGUAAACGAUGAAUACUCGCUGUUUGCGAUAUACGGCAAGCG